Molecule: ribosomal RNA, 253 nt
Filed under: uncultured bacterium
Lineage: Bacteria
Description: partial 16S ribosomal RNA
Rfam family: Bacterial small subunit ribosomal RNA
Source: RNAcentral
UACGGGGGGAGCAAGCGUUGUUCGGAUUUACUGGGCGUAAAGGGCGCGUAGGCGGCGCAACAAGUCACUUGUGAAAUCUCCGGGCUUAACCCGGAGCGGUCAAGUGAUACUGUCGUGCUAGAGUGCGGAAGGGGCUACUGGAAUUCUCGGUGUAGCGGUGAAAUGCGUAGAUAUCGGGAGGAACACCAGUGGCGAAGGCGGGUCUCUGGACAGUUCCUGACGCUGAGGCACGAAGGCCAGGGGAGCAAACGGG